UCAUGCCUACGGGACGCAGCAGUGAGGAAUAUUGGUCAAUGGGCGCGAGCCUGAACCAGCCAAGUCGCGUGAGGGAUGACGGCCCUACGGGUUGUAAACCUCUUUUGCCGGGGAGCAACGGGCGCCACGUGUGGCGCCACUGAGAGUACCCGGAGAAAAAGCAUCGGCUAACUCCGUGCCAGCAGCCGCGGUAAUACGGAGGAUGCGAGCGUUAUCCGGAUUUAUUGGGUUUAAAGGGUGCGCAGGCGGUCUGUUAAGUCAGCGGUCAAAGCCCGGGGCUCAACCCCGGCCCGCCGUUGAAACUG
Molecule: ribosomal RNA, 305 nt
Filed under: uncultured bacterium
Lineage: Bacteria
Description: bacterial SSU rRNA
Rfam family: Bacterial small subunit ribosomal RNA
Source: RNAcentral